GAUGAACGCUGGCGGCGUGCCUAAUACAUGCAAGUCGAGCGAACAGAUGAGGAUCUUGCUCCUCUGACGUUAGCGGCGGACGGGUGAGUAACACGUGGAUAACCUACCUAUAAGACUGGGAUAACUUCGGGAAACCGGAGCUAAUACCGGAUAAUAUAUUGAACCGCAUGGUUCAAUGGUGAAAGACGGUUUUGCUGUCACUUAUAGAUGGAUCCGCGCCGCAUUAGGUAGUUGGUAAGGUAACGGCUUACCAAGGCAACGAUGCGUAGCCGACCUGAGAGGGUGGUCGGCCACACGGGAACUGAGACACGGUCCAGACUCCUACGGGAGGCAGCAGUAGGGAAUCUUCCGCAAUGGGCGAAAGCCUGACGGAGCAACGCCGCGUGAGUGAUGAAGGUCUUCGGAUCGUAAAACUCUGUUAUUAGGGAAGAACAAAUGUGUAAGUAACUAUGCACGUCUUGACGGUAACUAAUCAGAAAGCCACGGCUAACUACGUG
RNAcentral lists this ribosomal RNA (497 nucleotides) under uncultured bacterium. Its description in RNAcentral is "partial 16S ribosomal RNA". It matches the Rfam family "Bacterial small subunit ribosomal RNA", at positions 28 to 507 of the family's 1533-position model. The record is from RNAcentral.